RNAcentral lists this unclassified non-coding RNA (300 nucleotides) under uncultured fungus. Its description in RNAcentral is "partial contains 5.8S ribosomal RNA, internal transcribed spacer 2, and large subunit ribosomal RNA". The record is from RNAcentral. Lineage: Eukaryota; Fungi.
AACGCACCUUGCGCUCUCGGGUUAUUCCUGGGAGCAUGUUCGUUUGAGUGUCGCGUACCUUCUCAACCCCCCUCUCUCUUAACCGAAAAAGGUGUUAGGGUUGGAUCUUGACGCCUUUGUCUCUAACGAGACUGCGUUGAAUUACAACAAGCUGUACCUUGUUCGUACUGGCGGCUUGACCCGUUGUCGUAAUUUUUUCUAUCGACGGGGACGCCUUAUGGGACUUUAGGAUGGGCUUACCAUAAAUUAUAAAUUUGACACAUUGACCUCAAAUCGAGCAGGACUACCCCCUGAACUUAA